RNAcentral lists this ribosomal RNA (542 nucleotides) under uncultured archaeon. RNAcentral describes it as "bacterial SSU rRNA". It matches the Rfam family "Archaeal small subunit ribosomal RNA", at positions 333 to 879 of the family's 1478-position model. The record is from RNAcentral.
CAGCAGGCGCGAAAACUUUGCAAUGCGGGAAACCGUGACAAGGGAACUCUGAGUGCCCGUUAAAUCGGGCUGUCCAUCGGUUUAAAUAACCGGUGAAGAAAGGGCCGGGCAAGACCGGUGCCAGCCGCCGCGGUAAUACCGGCGGCUCGAGUGGUGGCCACUAUUACUGGGCUUAAAGCGUUCGUAGCUGGUUUGUUAAGUCUCUGGGGAAAUCUUCCGGCUUAACCGGAAGGCGUCUCAGGGAUACUGGCAGACUAGGGACCGGGAGAGGUGAGAGGUACUCCAGGGGUAGGAGUGAAAUCCUGUAAUCCUUGGGGGACCACCUGUGGCGAAGGCGUCUCACCAGAACGGCUCCGACAGUGAGGGACGAAAGCUGGGGGAGCAAACCGGAUUAGAUACCCGGGUAGUCCCAGCUGUAAACGAUGCGCGUUAGGUGUAUCGGUGACCACGAGUCACCGAGGUGCCGAAGAGAAAUCGUGAAACGUGCCGCCUGGGAAGUACGGUCGCAAGGCUGAAACUUAAAGGAAUUGGCGGGGGAGCAC